AGAAUCAACGCUGGCGGCGUGCCUCAGACAUGCAAGUCGAACGCGAAAUCCCGAGCAAUCGGGAAAGUAGAGUGGCGCACGGGUGAGUAACACGUAGGUAAUCUACCUUCGGAUGGGGGAAUAACAACCGGAAACGGUUGCUAAUACCGCAUAAUGCAGCGGCACCUAAUGGUGACAGUUGUUAAAGCGGGGGAUCGAAAGACCUCGCGUCUGAAGAGGAGCCUGCGGCGGAUUAGCUAGUUGGUAAGGUAAUGGCUUACCAAGGCAACGAUCCGUAACCGGCCGUGAGAGGGCGUCGGUCACGCGUGACACGUGACAUACGGGUCACGACUCCGUACGGGAGGCAGCAGUCGGGUAAUUUGGGCUAAGUGGGACGAAAGGCCUACGACC
RNAcentral lists this ribosomal RNA (390 nucleotides) under uncultured soil bacterium. RNAcentral describes it as "bacterial SSU rRNA". It matches the Rfam family "Bacterial small subunit ribosomal RNA", at positions 26 to 389 of the family's 1533-position model. The record is from RNAcentral.